CUCCCCAGGGCUGAGGGGACAGGAGAACAUCAAGGCAGCCCUGACUCCCUCUCCCUAAGGCUUUGUACUACCUUCUGGUGCCCCUAGAAACCUAGGCUGCAAUUAGCACAAUCCAGCCAACCAUCAGGCCAGCAUCCUCCAGCUGGCCUCAGUCUAGGGGAGAAGUUCUAAUGGUGGAACGGCAGGAAGGAAUACCCAAAGCCCUCCCUGACCCCAGGGCCCUGCCCAUAGACCUGCCCUUGCUGAGUUGGUCUGGCCAGAUGGGCCCAAGUUCUGUGUGUCUGGGGUCACUCCAGCUUUGUGGUCCAGCCCUGCCUGCCCUCUCUGCUCUCAUACCCUGCCUAGGCCACCUCACUCCCCAUUACCCCCACCUGCCCACCCACAGAUCCGGCUGUCCCUGAGUUGCACUUUCCACAAGGCUGUCUUUCCAGGUCCUCCUGGAAAGUGAUGUGAAGUGAUCACAGGUUUGCACGGAGGUGUCACAGCUGGCCAGUGUUUGCUGAGGACAGGGGCUGUGUCAUCACCGAUAUGGACAAGGGGACCUUCAGGUGUGGGUUUGAUGGCUGAGGAGAGGGGCAGAGACACACCAGCUGCGGCUCACCAGGUACAUGGCUAGGCACCAAGCGGAAGCUGCUGGCACUGAGGUGCAGGAAGGUAUUGGCGCUGGGGUCGCGACGCACACAGCGCCCGUGGCCAUGGCACUGGGCCCGGCUGCAAUACUGGGCAGCCCAGGACACGUUGACUACGUAGGGGACCAGCAGCCGCGUCAGGCAGAGGCUGUUUCACUUUCUCAUUAGAUGUUCAAGUCAUUUGCACGCCUACUUUGGCCUCCGUUUCCCAAGCUAACGACCCACUUGAGCUGAAGAUGUAUCUAUCAGGAUAAACCCCAAAGUCAGAAUGCCUAGUUCCAAGACCCUGCUUUGCCCUGGAUGUGCUGGGAAGCUUUGGGAAGAAGAGCGAGAACGUCAGGACUUUGUCUCGAACGCACUCUCCCAAGUUUGGUGGAGGCCCCACCGGGACAAAGGGGUGGCGGACCUCCCUCGGCGGCGCCGGCGGACCGGCCCUUCGCUCCGCAGCCACCGUGAAUGCGCCCCACACCGCCAGACGGGUCCCGGGAGGAGCUCACUCCCCCUGGCCUUUGUGCUGGACCCCGCCCCCGCCCCGCACGUGGGGCCAGUGCCCGGCCGGGUGGGGGUUGGGUUCCUUGGCCGCCCGGCUGAGCGCAUCCCCUGGACUUCUGAACCCAACCUGAAGGAAGAAAGCCGCUAGGCUUGCACUGCCCGCCCUCACCUCGCGCGGGGCGCUGCCGGGACCCACG
Molecule: long non-coding RNA, 1318 nt
Organism: Panthera uncia (snow leopard)
Lineage: Eukaryota; Metazoa; Chordata; Mammalia; Carnivora; Felidae
Exons: 5
Source: RefSeq, a predicted model, not a curated record